Molecule: ribosomal RNA, 253 nt
Filed under: uncultured prokaryote
Description: partial 16S ribosomal RNA
Rfam family: Bacterial small subunit ribosomal RNA
Source: RNAcentral
UACGAGGGGUGCAAGCGUUGCUCGGAAUUAUUGGGCGUAAAGGGUAGGUAGGUGGUCUCAUUUGUCUGGGGUGAAAGCCUUGAGCUUAACUCAAGAAGUGCCCCAGAAACGGUGGGACUAGAGUCUCGGAGAGGAUCGUGGAAUUCCCGGUGUAGCGGUGAAAUGCGUAGAGAUCGGGAGGAACACCAGCGGCGAAGGCGGCGAUCUGGACGAGUACUGACACUCAACUACGAAAGCGUGGGGAGCAAACAGG